This 414-nucleotide ribosomal RNA is filed under the name Salmonella enterica. Its description in RNAcentral is "partial 23S ribosomal RNA". It matches the Rfam family "Bacterial large subunit ribosomal RNA", at positions 1 to 445 of the family's 2925-position model. Lineage: Bacteria; Pseudomonadati; Pseudomonadota; Gammaproteobacteria; Enterobacterales; Enterobacteriaceae. The record is from RNAcentral.
GGGUUGUGAGGUUAAGCGACUAAGCGUACACGGUGGAUGCCCUGGCAGUCAGAGGCGAUGAAGGGCGUGCUAAUCUGCGAUAAGCGCCGGUAAGGUGAUAUGAACCGUUAUAACCGGCGAUACCCGAAUGGGGAAACCCAGUGUGACUCGUCACACUAUCAUUAACUGAAUCCAUAGGUUAAUGAGGCGAACCGGGGGAACUGAAACAUCUAAGUACCCCGAGGAAAAGAAAUCAACCGAGAUUCCCCCAGUAGCGGCGAGCGAACGGGGAGGAGCCCAGAGCCUGAAUCAGCAUGUGUGUUAGUGGAAGCGUCUGGAAAGGCGCGCGAUACAGGGUGAUAGCCCCGUACACAAAAGCGCAUGUGUUGUGAGCUCGAUGAGUAGGGCGGGACACGUGGUAUCCUGUCUGAAUAU